AUGAAAAACUUCAUCAAGACUCAAGUACAAUCCUGCUUGGUGUGUCAGCAAGCUAAGCCGGAGAGAGUUCAAUACCCUGGUCUGUUAUCUCCUCUGCCAGUACCUUCCAAAGCUUGGGACACAGUGUCCAUGGAUUUUAUAUCAGGUCUCCCUACAUCCUUCCAAUAUAAUUGCAUUCUGGUGGUGAUUGACAAGGUCUCUAAAUAUGGCCAUUUCAUCUCUCUCACAUCCCUUCAAUGCAUAGAAAGUGGCUGA
Molecule: ribosomal RNA, 255 nt
Filed under: Triticum aestivum (bread wheat)
Lineage: Eukaryota; Viridiplantae; Streptophyta; Magnoliopsida; Poales; Poaceae
Description: partial small subunit ribosomal RNA
Source: RNAcentral